AUGGCGACUUGCAUUCGUAAGGUGGCCUCGGAGGAGUUUGGAGUGUCCAGGGGAAGGAGAAGCGAAGAUAAGGAUACCUGGUGGUGGAAUGAUGAUGUCCAGAAGGCGCUUAAAGAGAAGAAAGAUUGCUUCAGACGCCUAUACCUGGAUAGGAGUGCAGACAACAUAGAGAAGUACAAGAUGGCGAAGAAGGCCGCAAAGCGAGCUGUUGGUGAAGCAAGGGGUCGGGCAUAUGAGGACCUCUACCAACGGUUAGGCACGAAGGAAGGUGAAAGGGACAUCUAUAAGAUGGCUAAGAUCCGGGAGAGGAAGACGAGGGAUAUUGGCCAAGACAAAUGCAUCAAGGACGGAGCAGGCCAACUCUUGGUGAAGGACGAAGAGAUUAAGCAUAGAUGGCGGGAGUACUUCGAGAAGCUGUUCAAUGGGGAGAAUGAGAGUUCUACCAUUGAACUGAAUGACUCCUUUGAUGAGACUAGCAUGCUUUUUGUGCGGCGCAUCCAGGAGUCUGAGGUGAAGGAGGCUUUAAAAAGGAUGAAAGGAGGCAAGGCGAUGGGCCCUGAUUGUAUCCCCAUUGAGGUGUGGAAAGGUCUCGGGGACAUAGCGAUAGUAUGGCUAACCAAGCUUUUCAACCUCAUUUUUCGGGCAAACAAGAUGCCAGAAGAAUGGAGACGGAGUAUAUUAGUACCAAUCUUCAAGAACAAGGGGGAUGUUCAGAGUUGUACUAAUUACCGUGGAAUUAAGCUGAUGAGCCAUACAAUGAAGCUAUGGGAGAGAGUCAUUGAGCACCGCUUAAGAAGAAUGACAAGCGUGACCAAAAAUUAG
RNAcentral lists this ribosomal RNA (822 nucleotides) under Triticum aestivum (bread wheat). RNAcentral describes it as "partial small subunit ribosomal RNA". Lineage: Eukaryota; Viridiplantae; Streptophyta; Magnoliopsida; Poales; Poaceae. The record is from RNAcentral.